RNAcentral lists this long non-coding RNA (1213 nucleotides) under Pan paniscus (pygmy chimpanzee). Its description in RNAcentral is "lncRNA (ENSPPAG00000044648.1)". Lineage: Eukaryota; Metazoa; Chordata; Mammalia; Primates; Hominidae. The record is from RNAcentral.
GACUCUGCUGCUCCAUGAAAUUUUAGGACUUAUUGCUAUUGUUGAAUCAGGUGACUAAUUUCAGGGAUCUAAAAAGGCCUUAUGAUCCAUCAUCUUUUCCUUCAUCUGCCCACAAUCCCCCAGCAUUGGCCAACAUGGCAAACUCCCAUCUGAGUACCUUGGAACUUAAUCAGUGUGGGGCAGAGAACCUGGAACGGAUAGGCUGUCCGGGGACAGUGACAGGACGGCUGAGGGGAGAGAAAGGAGACAGGCCAGCUGUUUCCUGACGCCCUUGCUCAGUACAAGCACUGAACCUGAGAUCUCGGUAGGUUUGUAUGGAUCUGCAGAGAUCGCCCUAGGUUGGGUUGCUAUGGGAGCAGGUCUUUAACUGGAGGAGUUCUGAGAACGUUUUACCCUCUCUGGAACCAUGAGGAAAUUCUGGAGGGCAGACACGUUCUGUCUCUAGCUUAGCUCUCACUCCUUAAGGUGGGUCUGCCACCGCUGAGGUGCCCCCUUGGGUGGUCUGUGAGACUCCUGCAACAGCUCUGCACGACUUCUGGGGUCCACAGUCCAGGACAGAUGUGAAGUUUUGGCAUCAACAUAUUCUUGGGAGGCUGCGUCGUCCUAUCACAGUGAAGAAAGAAUUAUUUCAAUCAACAUCGUCAUCCCAAGUAGGAGACCAGAGUCUGUAAUCUCAGAGAGGCUGAGAUGCUGCCCUCCAGUGUGAUGUUUGUCUUCUCCUGAGGAAGUGGAUGCCAUGUGUCACUUUGCAGAUGGAUCAAGUGCAGGAGGUAUCCAGUUUCCAGGCAGGUUGCAUGGGAGAGAGGCAGGUGUGUGUGUGCAUGCAGAGGAAAGAGAACAAAGCCCGAGGGAUCCAACUUCCAGGAAAUCUCUGUUGCGCUGGUGCAAAGGAAAAAUAACCCCUGCUCUCCUCUCAACUUAAAAAAAUUUUCUGUUUGGUUUUGGUUUACAGAAGUCUAAAUAUUAAGCAGUUUCGUGGUGAUAAUGAUGCAGCCACAUUUUAGAUAAAUUCUUUGAACUUUUUAAAGCCCUUUGUGUUUUCCUAAUAGUUACUCAUAGAAGGGCUGGGAUAGGAAAAAUGCAGGCAGGCCAGCGCCUGCUCCUGAAUGCCCGUUUGAGCAAUCGUAUACCCUACAAAUUCAGCUCGUCACUUUUUUUUCCUGGUGGUGGCAGCAAGAAGUUGGACGGGUUUCUGGGUACAUCUCGUCCUGUG